Molecule: ribosomal RNA, 253 nt
Filed under: uncultured bacterium
Lineage: Bacteria
Description: partial 16S ribosomal RNA
Rfam family: Bacterial small subunit ribosomal RNA
Source: RNAcentral
GACGAACCGUGCGAACGUUGUUCGGAAUCACUGGGCUUAAAGGGCGCGUAGGCGGAUCAUCAAGUCCGGGGUGAAAUCUUUCGGCUUAACCGGAAAAGUGCCUUGGAUACUGGUGGUCUCGAGUGAGGUAGGGGCAUGUGGAACUUCUGGUGGAGCGGUGAAAUGCGUUGAUAUCAGAAGGAACUCCGGUGGCGAAGGCGGGACUCUGGGCCGAUACUGACGCUGAGGAGCGAAAGCGUGGGGAGCAAACAGG